AAACCGGAAGAAGGUGGGGAUGAGGUCAAGUCCUCAUGGCCCUUAUGGGUAGGGCUUCACACGUCAUACAAUGGUCGGUACAGAGGGUUGCCAAGCCGCGAGGUGGAGCCAAUCCCAGAAAACCGAUCGUAGUCCGGAUUGGAGUCUGCAACUCGACUCCAUGAAGUCGGAAUCGCUAGUAAUCGCGGAUCAGAAUGUCGCGGUGAAUACGUUCCCGGGUCUUGUACACACCGCCCGUCAAACCAUGGGAGUGGGUCUCACCAGAAGUAGGUAGCCUAACCGUAAGGAGGGCGCUUACCACGGUGGGAUUCAUGACUGGGGUUAAGUCGUAACAAGGUAGCCGUAUCGGAAGG
RNAcentral lists this ribosomal RNA (353 nucleotides) under uncultured bacterium. RNAcentral's name for it is "bacterial SSU rRNA". It matches the Rfam family "Bacterial small subunit ribosomal RNA", at positions 1160 to 1512 of the family's 1533-position model. The record is from RNAcentral.